RNAcentral lists this ribosomal RNA (490 nucleotides) under uncultured bacterium. RNAcentral describes it as "partial 16S ribosomal RNA". It matches the Rfam family "Bacterial small subunit ribosomal RNA", at positions 30 to 507 of the family's 1533-position model. The record is from RNAcentral.
AUUGAACGCUGGCGGCAGGCCUAACACAUGCAAGUCGAACGGUAACAGGAAGAAGCUUGCUUCUUUGCUGACGAGUGGCGGACGGGUGAGUAAUGUCUGGGAAACUGCCUGAUGGAGGGGGAUAACUACUGGAAACGGUAGCUAAUACCGCAUAACGUCGCAAGACCAAAGAGGGGGACCUUCGGGCCUCUUGCCAUCGGAUGUGCCCAGAUGGGAUUAGCUAGUAGGUGGGGUAACGGCUCACCUAGGCGACGAUCCCUAGCUGGUCUGAGAGGAUGACCAGCCACACUGGAACUGAGACAUGGUCCAGACUCCUACGGGAGGCAGCAGUGGGGAAUAUUGCACAAUGGGCGCAAGCCUGAUGCAGCCAUGCCGCGUGUAUGAAGAAGGCCUUCGGGUUGUAAAGUACUUUCAGCGGGGAGGAAGGGAGUAAAGUUAAUACCUUUGCUCAUUGACGUUACCCGCAGAAGAAGCACCGGCUAACUCCGUG